Long non-coding RNA from Eucalyptus grandis, 908 nucleotides. RefSeq lists it as uncharacterized. The record is from RefSeq and is a predicted model, not a curated record. NCBI's taxonomy places the organism in Eukaryota, Viridiplantae, Streptophyta, Magnoliopsida, Myrtales, Myrtaceae. The transcript has 6 exons.
GGGUCUCCAUGAGUUCUAUUUCAUCUGUAAGCAAUGGGGGUGAUGCUGAGUGUAGUACCUAUUUUCCACGAUCUCGGACUUCUGCUGUGAUAGGUACUUCUACUGGGUUUUCCACUUUGUCUGGACUGCCAACUGUUCUCUUCUUGCUGCAUGCGACUAUUUGCAAAUUUAAGGCUAGCUCUUGCUCGUUUAAGUUCAUACCUCUCAGUGGAUUUGAUUGAGCAGGGUCCAUAUAACCCUUUUUUGUUCAUUGCCCAAGGUGAGUUUGCAUAAGGGAUCUCAAUAUAGUCAGUUGCAUAGUGGCCAAUCCGGCCACACGAGAAACAGAAAUGUGGAAGUCGCUCAUACUUGAACUCCACCCAAAGCCACCUAUUGCCAAUGUCCAUAACAGCUCCCGAUUUCAAAGGGGGAACUCCUCCUAUACGCACCGAGAAUUCUUCCUUAGUGAAAUCAUAGCAAUGUUCAGGAACUUCAGGGAGACACUGUUUCAGAACAAUCAGAUUCGUGGAGUAAGACCAAGUGACGAAGGCUGGGAAGUUCACGUUUGGUUUGGAAUACAAUUUUCCAAAUAGAGUUCGACUACAUUCCUCUCUUUUCUGUUGAGCGUCUCAGAUCUAGACUAUCCGCAUCUCCAGAUCUACCCAGAUUCAACUUUUCCACCCCGACAACUCAUCAGCCAAAAAAACGAAAGCAAGUUGAAGAAAAGAACAACCCAAUACCAGGUGAUACCGAUUUACUACUAAGAUACUAUACCUGGAAAAUCGCGCAUCUCUUCAUCUAGAGGAAAAACUUUCGAGCACCCUUCAUGACUGGUGAAAAUCCCGGUGCCUCCAGAUCGUUGAAGAAAAGCUUUCGGUGAAGAUUUCAUCCGAUGGAGACCAUAUGCCCUCCAGAGAACGCAUAACAUA